Amphimedon queenslandica is the source of this 478-nucleotide long non-coding RNA. RefSeq lists it as uncharacterized. NCBI's taxonomy places the organism in Eukaryota, Metazoa, Porifera, Demospongiae, Haplosclerida, Niphatidae. The transcript is spliced from 3 exons. The record is from RefSeq and is a predicted model, not a curated record.
AACAUCAGUUAGUCUGUGCAUUGGUCCUGAUAAUAAGAGUCUAGUGUGGAAUAUUGGACAGAAGUUCCCAGUAAAGUCCCUGGAAGUGUCCCUCAAUGUUACUGUGACAUUCACUGAGUUUCCUAGUGAAGAGGAGGAGGAGAGAGACAAAACUGUUGAUGCAAAGUUUUGUGUUGAGCAGAACAGCCAUUGUGAGUUGAAUUUCAAGAUUUCUGAUUUCACUCUCAGUGGCUGUCAAAUUGAUCCUCGCUCAAUCACUUUGUUCCCAUCAAUCAAAUACAAACUAACAUUAGGAAGAGAGUUGGUGUCCUCAGGUUACCGUAUAUGGAAUUCACAUGGUGAUGCACUGGGAAUACCUUUCAUUAGGAAUGAACCAGUUGAAGAAAUGAUUAAUUAGUACUGAUAAUGACACUGAAGGAUUAGUGUUACCUUGUUUGUUGUGGUUUUUUAUACAUGAUUAUUAGUAUUGCUACAAUAA